CCGGGCCAGUGGGAUUUGGUUACAGAUGAAACAAUACCCGGGCCAGUGGGAUUUGGUUACAGAUGAAACAGUACCUGGGCCAGUGGGAUUUGGUUACAGAUGAUACAAUACCUGGGCCAGUGGGAUUUGGUUACAGAUGAAACAAUACCCGGGCCAGUGGGAUUUGGUUACAGAUGAAACAGUACCUGGGCCAGUGGGAUUUGGUUACAGAUGAUACAAUACCUGGGCCAGUGGGAUUUUGUUACUUAUUUUAAGAUACCAUUUUUGAAUAAUCUCCUCCAGUUGGUUUGCAUUUUAAAACUACAACCUGGUUUGUUUUUGAAAACACAAGAAAUGGGAAGAAAGCUGAAUUAAAAGAGAAAAAGUCUCCACUUACUUAAAAUGCAGCCAGAGGAUGGAUCAAGAGAUCUGUAUCAAGAGGAUGGAUAGAAAGAAAGAGAGAGAGAUAGAGAGACUAAAGAUGUCAGCCGUAGGUCUGAAGAGAAGGGUGGUAGGUGUGGGUCUGAGUGGUCUGAAGAGAAGGGUGGUGGGUGUGGGUCUGAGUGGUCUGAAGAGAAGGGUGGUAGGCGUGGGUCUGAGUGGUCUGAAGAGAAGGGUGGUGGGUGUGGGUCUGAGUGGUCUGAAGAGAAGGGUGGUAGGUGUGGGUCAGAGUGGUCUGAAGAGAAGGGUGGUGGGUGUGGGUCUGAGUGGUCUGAAGAGAAGGGUGGUAGGUGUGGAUCUGAAUGGUCUGAAGAGAAGGGUGGUAGGUGUGGGUCUGAGUGGUCUGAAGAGAAGGGUGGUAGGUGUGGGUCUGAGUGGUCUGAAGAGAAGGGUGGUAGGUGUGAAGAGUCUUUAUUUGGAGCUGCAAAGUAAAGAGAAUAGAACAAGUUUAGAAUUGUAUUUCACAGCUGUAUAUGUAGGAUACUUAUUUUAAUAAAAAAUGUAACUGAGGAUUUAAAUGUACUUAAUUUGUAAGUGGAUUACAUCACAGAAACUACAGGUGGUGUACAAAAAUGUAAAGAAUGUGAACGAUGGAUAACAAAAUGACCAUUGGAUAGAAACACAUUCACUGUGGAUGGGAGCAGUGCUGUCUGGUGGUCCCAAUUCAUCCAUUGGUUGGAAUUGUUUUCUCCACAAGAUCUAAAACUGUCUUUAGAAAGGCUUUGCAAAGACAAGUUGGACUCGCUCUAUUAGACAGGGGGGUCAAACUCAUUCCACAGAGGGCAGAGUGUCUGCUGCUUUUUGGUUUUUCAUUUCAAUCAACACCUGGACAACCUAACCAGGUGAGGGGAGUUCCUUAGUCAUUUGUGACCUAAAUUUAUCAAUCAAGGGUGGAGCAAAAACCUGCAAACACUCGGACCUCCCAUGGUAGGAGUUUGACUCAUGUGGAUUAAAGUAAUUAACCACUCAAACUAGUUUAAUCAGGUGUGUAGAUGUUGCCCAGAACAAAACCCUGCACCCACCAUGAAACACCAGACCGUAGCCUAGCUAAAGCUAGCUAGCAAGCUGAAACUGUUGAGUUGGCCUAUAGCUAAGAUUUUGAUUGAAAAACUUGACAGAUCAGUGAAAAUGCAUAGUGGUUUGAGAAAUGUCGUAAAAAGCAAUAAAUCAAUCUCCAUAACAUUAUAUAGUAACGAUUACAACACGUGGUUUAUUUUCAUACUUCAUUUACCGGGAAAGGGAAUGAUCGCAUGGGAGGAUCGGGUACGUUCCAAGUUGCCUUUUUUGUUGAAGUCAUGAUGCGCAUUUGUGUUGUUGGUCAAAUUACACAGAAUCUGCACAGCAUAAGAAUAUACAUUCAAACUACCUGGAAAAGCGUUUCUUAGAUUCAUUUAAUUUGAUAUUCUUAUAUAAAUUGAACAACACAGAAAGUAACCUCCCCUGCAGCCGAUUGUGUUGACGAGCUGGAACGCGCCCCGCAUUGCGUUGGGUUGAAGUUGCAUAUGUACAGUACUGAUCUUGGGUCAGUUUUCCGUUAUUUCUCGUACGACUUGGGGGGAGAACGCAACAUCACCCGCAAGGGUUUUGAUCGGCCAACAUGUUGUCUGACUGCAAUGAGCGCAACACGCAAACAUAUUAAGUGAAAUCAAGCAGAGAAAACAGUAUUUUCCAUUGAUAAUGUAUUUAAAUGUUCCCUGGCAAAGAUCCCAAAGAGUGCCAUUACUUGGAGUAAUCUCUGAACGGUUUCAAAAUGCCUACCUGUUGAAUAUCAUCUUGUCUGCAGGAAAUAAAUGUAUCAGAAGAGUGGAGUGGAAGAUUAAAUACAUUUCUUUCAAUGGAAAAAUCACCCAUAAAAUAAAUCUGAAGACAGAUGUAGGCUAUGUAUGUAGGCUGCUAUUACACAUACUAAUGCCUCGUUCAGGUACAAUCGGAGUUCUCGGGAAUUCCUAGUUCUGACCGGGAAGUUUCACUUCAAUGACCCUCCAAAUAGGAAUUACAAGUGGGAAAUUAGAAAAUUGUGUUGCCAAUCUUAUUGGUUUAAGAAUUGUUCAGACUUCAAAAGCACUUGAACACAAUCAUGUCGGAGUUACAACUACCCAUUUUCCCGUUUCCCACGAGAAUGUGAAGCCAGCAUAAUACUGCAUUCAAGUGCCAGUCGGUACUAGGAAACUGACAUUUCUGACUUGCUAAAUGGUUGAACGCGUUACAGUAGCCUAAGUAUAUAACAUGAGUGACAUGACCGUAAUAAUCAUAAUGGAAAGGCCUUGGAAAUGCCAUAAGUGUAAGCCAACAUAAUUCAUUAUUUUACAUUCACCUGUUUAACAUGUAAUACAUGCAUUAUGAAGACAAUUGUGUGAUUUAGGCUCCACGAAAUAUGAAAUGGGUUAUUAAGAAAAUCGUGUACUGUUGGCUAUAUGACAAAAAGGCCUUCUGAUUACAAGUGCACCAGUAUCCAAAGUAUUAAGCGAAAUCAAGCACAGAAAACAGCAUUGGCAUUAAUAAAACACAUUUUCCCACGAAUUAAGUCGCACAUAAAUGUGAGUCUUUUCUAAAAAAUUCUGUUCAGAAAGUCUAAAACAGUGCAUACAACGACACGUUUUAAAACAGGGUUAAACAAAGACAACAUUUCUGUAUAUUCAUAACGUUGAAUUAGCCAUUAAGGAGAACAAAAAUGAAAUAUAAACUAUCGCGUCUAUAUGGUUGCUGCAAAGGCUUUUGUGUAGCCUACGAAUUAAAAAGCACAAAAACGCACAAAAACGCACGAAAUUUGCUGAAAUGCAUUAUGUGCAUAUAUGCACGAAUUGAUUGUGAGACUGUGAUGUCCAAGUAUACCUCUCGUUAUGACAACAAAGCACUUCUCCAGACAUACAUCUUGUUAUUGCCUUCUCAAGGCGUGCAAUUUAACCAGCUGUCACAAUGUCCGUACAAUUAGCACGAACCCCUCGGGAUGUUGCGCUCAACAGCGCAUCCCACUUAUAAAGCAGCUGCUUCGUCUUCGUGUUCUUCUCUAUCAAAAGCUACCCGGACGCUUUUCCAUUUCAAACAAGCCCGCUGUUCCAACCUGCCAGCAGCACAAACAAUUACGUGACUUUCGUAUGGUAAUGACAACCCUUCAAAAUAAAAGCCCCAUUUCAAAACAUUGCAAUGUGGAUAACUCAUUCAAAAGAUAUUUAAUUUAAAUAAAUUAUUGGGCCGACAAAAAAAUGCAGUAAGU
Molecule: long non-coding RNA, 3634 nt
Filed under: Salmo salar (Atlantic salmon)
Lineage: Eukaryota; Metazoa; Chordata; Actinopteri; Salmoniformes; Salmonidae
Description: lncRNA (ENSSSAG00000105158.1)
Source: RNAcentral